GAUGAACGCUGGCGGCGUGCUUAAUACAUGCAAGUCGAACGGACAGACCAUGAUCUUGUUCCUUUCUCGUUAGCCGAGGACGUGUGAGAAACACGUGUAUAACCUACUUAUAUUUCGGGUAUAUUUUCGGAAAACCGGCUCUAAUAGCGGAUAAUAUAUUGCUCCAUGUGGUGCGAUAGUGAAUGUCGGCUUUUCUGUCAGUACUAGCUGGAUCCGCGCCGCAUUAGCUAGUUGGUAAGGUAACGGCUUUUCAAGGCAACGAUGCGUAGCCGACUUGAGAGGGUGAUCGGCCACACUGGAACUGAGACACGGUCCAGACUCCUACGGGAGGCAGCAGUAGGGAAUCUUCCGCAAUGGGCGAAAGCCUGACGGAGCAACGCCGCGUGAGUGAUGAAGGUCUUCGGAUCGUAAAACUCUGUUAUUAGGGAAGAACAAAUGUGUAAGUAACUAUGCACGUAUUGACGGUACCUAAUCAGAAAGCCACGGCUAACUACGUG
RNAcentral lists this ribosomal RNA (497 nucleotides) under uncultured bacterium. Its description in RNAcentral is "partial 16S ribosomal RNA". It matches the Rfam family "Bacterial small subunit ribosomal RNA", at positions 28 to 507 of the family's 1533-position model. The record is from RNAcentral.